RNAcentral lists this ribosomal RNA (450 nucleotides) under uncultured bacterium. RNAcentral's name for it is "partial 16S ribosomal RNA". It matches the Rfam family "Bacterial small subunit ribosomal RNA", at positions 354 to 796 of the family's 1533-position model. The record is from RNAcentral.
GUGGGGAAUAUUGCACAAUGGGCGCAAGCCUGAUGCAGCCAUGCCGCGUGUGUGAAGAAGGCCUUCGGGUUGUAAAGCACUUUCAGCGGGGAGGAAGGCGACAAGGUUAAUAACCUUGUCGAUUGACGUUACCCGCAGAAUAAGCACCGGCUAACUACGUGCCAGCAGCCGCGGUAAUACGUAGGGUGCAAGCGUUAAUCGGAAUUACUGGGCGUAAAGCGCACGCAGGCGGUCUGUCAAGUCGGAUGUGAAAUCCCCGGGCUCAACCUGGGAACUGCAUUCGAAACUGGCAGGCGAGAGUCUUGUAGAGGGGGGUAGAAUUCCAGGUGUAGCGGUGAAAUGCGUAGAGAUCUGGAGGAAUACCGGUGGCGAAGGCGGCCCCCUGGACAAAGACUGACGCUCAGGUGCGAAAGCGUGGGGAGCAAACAGGAUUAGAUACCCGAGUAGUCC